CUAUCCUAUCCUAUGUUGAUAUUUUUCUUUGAUUUUUUACAACAUUUACCGUACAAUUCUCCGAGACUAUUACUUUAAUUACUAAGCUGAAGCUUGUUUUCUUCAGUUUUUCAUAGACCCACCUGCUCUGCUUGUGGUGAUUAGAGCUGAGACAAAACUGAGCAUCGGAAUCUGAAGCUAGCGGGUUUAAUGUAAGUUCCAAUAAAUAAUUUUAGACAAUAUAGAUUGUAUUUUAGUUGAGUGAUUACUGAAUAAAUAGUUAUAUAAAAUGGUA
This 274-nucleotide long non-coding RNA is filed under the name Diabrotica virgifera virgifera (western corn rootworm). RNAcentral describes it as "uncharacterized LOC126884344". The record is from RNAcentral. Lineage: Eukaryota; Metazoa; Arthropoda; Insecta; Coleoptera; Chrysomelidae.